Molecule: small nucleolar RNA, 70 nt
Organism: Hydractinia symbiolongicarpus
Lineage: Eukaryota; Metazoa; Cnidaria; Hydrozoa; Anthoathecata; Hydractiniidae
Product: small nucleolar RNA SNORD18
Exons: 1
Source: RefSeq, a predicted model, not a curated record
GAGGUGUGAUGAACAUCAUACUUCAGGUCCGUGUUUUUGACUUGAAUGAUAAUAAUGAAGUUCUGAUCUG